GUGUUUUAUAAUUGUUAGUGUGUUUAUGCACGUAGUGUUUGUAUAUUUUGCAUUUUGUGUUUUUUCCUUUUUUUCUUGUUGAAAACUGUAUCUCUGUACCAAAGUUAUGCAGUGCUGUUUGAGAAUAAAGGUAUAUAGAAUAUAUUAAUAAUUGUACGUUAAUUAUUGCAUUUGCAUCAUAACAGUUAUUUUGAAAUUAAUGAGUUUUUGUAUUUUUUAAAUAAAUGGAAAUGAUCUAACUUGUACAUUUACAUCAUACAAGUAUAACAGUACAGUGUGCUGUACAGGGAGGUGUAGUCGUUGUAGGUUUUAUAUCUACGUGAAUGUAUGCUUUGCAACAGUCGAUUCUAAUUUUCAAACUUCUUCAUGAAGCAGCGCUCAGAAGCAGCGACAUUGUUGCUUUAAGAUUCAUCCUCGUCUGACAGACAUCUCAUUAAAAUGAUCUAAUAUUCGACCCCGUUAAUUAACAUUUAUGUCCAAACAGACAAUACAAAAUCAUGUUUAUAUAACCACAUGUCUAUAUAGAAAACUAAGAAAUGCCCGGUGGUCAAGAAAAAACAUGACCUUGGCUCCCACAUUAUACAAGAUUUAUAUGCACUUCGCGUGACCUUUUGAAAUUUCCUUGACCAGGUCAUUGUAAUAUAAUGGCCGAAGUUUUCUACGGACGCACAGACCAAUUAAAUAGCUGACCAUAAUUAGCCUAUUGACCCUUUUCAACCGGUCAAGCUCAGGCCACUAAGUCUUACUUUAC
This 751-nucleotide long non-coding RNA is filed under the name Mytilus galloprovincialis (Mediterranean mussel). The record is from RNAcentral. Lineage: Eukaryota; Metazoa; Mollusca; Bivalvia; Mytilida; Mytilidae.